This 1429-nucleotide long non-coding RNA is filed under the name Scleropages formosus (Asian bonytongue). Its description in RNAcentral is "lncRNA (ENSSFOG00015031717.1)". Lineage: Eukaryota; Metazoa; Chordata; Actinopteri; Osteoglossiformes; Osteoglossidae. The record is from RNAcentral.
GACACCACGUGCCUUCAUCAAUCUUCGCUUACAGCAAAGUAAAAUUAAAUAUGAUCAGUGUACCUUCGGCCACGAAGACAUUCAGCAGAGACGAAGCAUUUGUGAAGAAAGGCGACUCAGUGUGUCAGAUUUUUAUGGGAGGCGACCCUAUAGGCUCAGGAUUCUUGUUCGCUCAUAACUAUAUUCUAACAAAUGCCCAUGUUGUCAUGGAUUACCGCAGUAAUUCAGAUACAUUUCUUAUUAAGUUUGCCUGUGGGAUUUCAAGAAAUGUUCACAUUGAAGGACGAGUUGUUACUUUCUGUUACGGUUAUGACCCGUUUGGGCGUUGGUUGGAUUACGCUUUACUGGAGCUGUGUCAAGAUGCCAUAUUACCUGCUCCGCUCCUUAAGUUUUACGCUCCCCCUCCAAAGCAAGGCCAAACUUGCAUUAUUGGUUAUCCCAGUGAAGGGGGCAAGUGUGCAGAGUACAGUCAUAUAAAUGAAUUAGAACUGUACGAUGCUGACAACGUAAAUAUCCAAAAAAUACUAAGCAGUCAUCUUAUCAUUUACCCAACCAGUAUGCUUCACGGGUCUUCUGGGUCACCUGGUUUUGUAGCUCUUAACCUGGUAUUCAUGCAUACUGGGGGCUUCACUUACAGAGGUAAACUGAUUAAAGAUCAGAUUGGGUAUGGCAUUCCACUCAGGUCAAUAAUAUGCCAUCUUUUCCUGUGGAUCACAGAGAAUGAGGAUUCACACCUUCUUUCACAUUUUAUUUCUGAAGCUCUUCUGCAUUCACUAAUUCCCCUCGUUGCCGACUGCAGUCUUGAUCUGGAGAACGCAUUCCCAACCAUGCCUGACCUCCCUCGUCAAACUUUGAGACUCUGUCGUGUUCUCAGUCAGAAUAUUUCAGCAGAGAACUUGCAGGUACUUAAGAAUCAACUAGCAAGUGAUACGUACGACGAAAAGCUUCGCUGGAUUCUCUCUGAAUUACAGGAUACUUGCGACAAACUCCAUGAUUCUGAAGAUCUGGAGUGUGAUACACCGAUGGAGAUUGAUUAAUAUUACUAUAAUUGCUACAUUAUAAAAAUUUUAUGAUUUCCAUCCAUCCAUCCAUCUUCCUCCGCUAUCCGGGUCGCGGGGGCAGCAGUCCGAGCAGAGUCCUCCAGACUUCCCUCUCCCCGCACACCUCCUCCAGUUCCUCUGGGGAAACCCCAAGGCGUUCCCAGGCCAGCCGGAGACAUAGUCUCUCCAACGUGUCCUGGGUCUGCCCCGAGGCCUCCUCCCAGUGGGACAAGCCCAGAACACCUCCCCACGGAGGCGUCCAGGAGGCAUCCGGAACAGAUGCCCGAGCCACCUCAAUUGGCUCCUCUCGAUGCGGAGGAGCAGCAGCUCUACUCCGAGCUCCUCCCGGGUGACUGAGCUCCUCACCCUAUCCCUAAGGGUGCGCCCAG